This 468-nucleotide ribosomal RNA is filed under the name uncultured bacterium. RNAcentral's name for it is "partial 16S ribosomal RNA". It matches the Rfam family "Bacterial small subunit ribosomal RNA", at positions 28 to 507 of the family's 1533-position model. The record is from RNAcentral.
GACGAACGCUGGCGGCGUGCUUAACACAUGCAAGUCGAACGGAAGGGCCCUGCUUUUGUGGGGUGCUCGAGUGGCGAACGGGUGAGUAACACGUGAGUAACCUGCCCUUGACUUUGGGAUAACUUCAGGAAACUGGGGCUAAUACCGGAUAGGAGCUCCUGCUGCAUGGUGGGGGUUGGAAAGUUUCGGCGGUUGGGGAUGGACUCGCGGCUUAUCAGCUUGUUGGUGGGGUAGUGGCUUACCAAGGCUUUGACGGGUAGCCGGCCUGAGAGGGUGACCGGCCACAUUGGGACUGAGAUACGGCCCAGACUCCUACGGGAGGCAGCAGUGGGGAAUAUUGCACAAUGGGCGGAAGCCUGAUGCAGCAACGCCGCGUGCGGGAUGACGGCCUUCGGGUUGUAAACCGCUUUCGCCUGUGACGAAGCGUGAGUGACGGUAACGGGUAAAGAAGCACCGGCUAACUACGUG